Gopherus flavomarginatus (Mexican gopher tortoise) is the source of this 491-nucleotide long non-coding RNA. RefSeq lists it as uncharacterized. The transcript is spliced from 2 exons. The record is from RefSeq and is a predicted model, not a curated record. Lineage: Eukaryota; Metazoa; Chordata; Testudines; Testudinidae.
UCAGCUUUCAACUGCUCUGAAAAGUGCCUCUGUUUACAUGGCAUCAGUGAAUUUCAAAUUGAGUAUUUCUCGGUAGACAAGUAAGAAAAUGGUUUUAACUGAGCAUCAAUCCUGCAGGCUCAGUUUGGGAUCGGAAAUUCAAGCUGGAUUCUUUCAGACUUGUGCAACAUCUCCAGUAAUCAUGACUUAACUGUUACAAAAGCCUGGUGCAACACCCAUUGAAGUCAGUGGAAAGAAUUGCAAAAGAGACUGAGUCCAAGUAACGGGAAUGCUCAAAUCGCAUGUGGAGAAAAGCCCCAGAAUGGAGUAACAGCAAACCCUGGCACAAUGGAGUCUGAUUCCUUAGCUUCCAAGAUCUAAUGUGAAAAAACAGGCUGGCUAUGAAGUCGCACAACCAACAUUGUUACGGUUGCAUUUAUACCUCCAUCGGGAUUAAGGAAAGCUGUGUGCAACACAUCUGAGCCGUAAAAUAAAUGUCCUUUUCUAAAAGA